This 508-nucleotide ribosomal RNA is filed under the name Marenzelleria viridis. RNAcentral's name for it is "SSU rRNA". It matches the Rfam family "Eukaryotic small subunit ribosomal RNA", at positions 709 to 1163 of the family's 1831-position model. Lineage: Eukaryota; Metazoa; Annelida; Polychaeta; Spionida; Spionidae. The record is from RNAcentral.
CCCCUCGCGGGGGUCUCACUGCCGUGUCCCGCGCCCACCUGGCCGGUACCUAAUCGCCCGGGUGCCCUUCGCUGGGUGUCCGGUGCAGCCGGCUGGUUUACUUUGAAAAAAUUAGAGUGUUCAAAGCAGGCGCCCCGCCUGCAUACCGUCGCAUGGAAUAAUGGAAUAGGACCUCGGUUCUAUUUUGUUGGUUGUUGGAGUCGAGGUAAUGAUCAAUAGGGACGGCCGGGGGCAUUCGUAUUGCGCCGUUAGAGGUGAAAUUCUUGGAUCGGCGCAAGACGAACUAGAGCGAAAGCAAUUGCCAAGAGCGUCUUCUUUAAUCAAGAGCGACAGUCAGAGGUUCGAAGACGAUCAGAUACCGUCGUAGUUCUGACCAUAAACGAUGCCAGCUGGCGAUGUGCCGGAGUUGUAUCAUAUGACUCUGCACGCAGCCCCCGGGAAACCAAAGCUUUUGGGUUCCGGGGGAAGUAUGGUUGCAAAGCUGAAACUUAAAGGAAUUGACGGAAGG